This 404-nucleotide ribosomal RNA is filed under the name uncultured prokaryote. RNAcentral's name for it is "bacterial SSU rRNA". It matches the Rfam family "Bacterial small subunit ribosomal RNA", at positions 355 to 774 of the family's 1533-position model. The record is from RNAcentral.
UGAGGAAUAUUGCACAAUGGGCGGAAGCCUGAUGCAGCAACGCCGCGUGAGGGACGAAGGCCUUCGGGUCGUAAACCUCUUUUCUGGGGGAAGAGACAAGGACGGUACCUCAGGAAUAAGUCUCGGCUAACUACGUGCCAGCAGCCGCGGUAAAACGUAGGAGGCGAGCGUUAUCCGGAAUUACUGGGCGUAAAGCGCGCGCAGGCGGCUCUGUAAGUUGGACGUGGAAGCUCCUGGCUUAACUGGGAGAGGUCGUUCGAAACUGCAGGGCUUGAGUCUGGGAGAGGGGUGUGGAAUUCCCGGUGUAGGGGUGGAAUGCGUAGAUAUCGGGAGGAACACCAGUGGCGGAAGCGGCACCCUGGUCCAGUACUGACGCUGAGGUGCGAAAGCGUGGGGAGCAAACA